AAGAACCAACAGGGAUUGCCCUAGUAACGGCGAGUGAAGCGGCAACAGCUCAGAUUUGAAAUCUGGCCCAUUAGGGUCCGAGUUGUAAUCUGUAGAGGAUGCUUUUGGCGAGGUGCCUUCUAAGUCCCCUAGAACGGGGCGCCACAGAGGGUGAGAGCCCCGUACAGUUGGACACCGAACCUUUGUAAAGCUCCUUCGACGAGUCGAGUAGUUUGGGAAUGCUGCUCAAAAUGGGAGGUAUAUUUCUUCUAAAGCUAAAUACCGGCCAGAGACCGAUAGCGCACAAGUAGAGUGAUCGAAAGAUGAAAAGCACUUUGAAAAGAGGGUUAAAUAGCACGUGAAAUUGUUGAAAGGGAAGCGCUUGUGACCAGACUUGCGCCCGGUGAAUCAUCCAGCGUUCUCGCUGGUGCACUUUGCCGGGCUCAGGCCAGCAUCGGUUCUCCCAGGGGGAUAAAGGUCUCGGGAACGUAGCUCUCUUCGGGGAGUGUUAUAGCCCGUGGCAUAAUACCUUUGGGGGGACCGAGGACCGCGCUCUGCAAGGAUGCUGGCGUAAUGGUCAUCAGCGACCCGUCUUGAAACACGGACCAAGGAGUCAAGCAUUAGGGCGAGUCUUUGGGUGUAAAACCCGCAGGCGCAAUGAAAGUGAACGGAGGUGAGAGCUUCGGCGCAUCAUCGACCGAUCCUGAUGUUCUCGGAUGGAUUUGAGUAAGAGCCUUACCGCUUGGACCCGAAAGAUGGUGAACUAUGCCUGAAUAGGGUGAAGCCAGAGGAAACUCUGGUGGAGGCUCGCAGCGGUUCUGACGUGCAAAUCGAUCGUCAAAUUUGGGCAUGGGGGCGAAAGACUAAUCGA
This 850-nucleotide ribosomal RNA is filed under the name Distoseptispora sp. YQ-2022a. RNAcentral's name for it is "partial large subunit ribosomal RNA". It matches the Rfam family "Eukaryotic large subunit ribosomal RNA", at positions 56 to 938 of the family's 3401-position model. Lineage: Eukaryota; Fungi; Ascomycota; Sordariomycetes; Distoseptisporaceae. The record is from RNAcentral.